AAUGGAGAGUUUGAUCCUGGCUCAGGAUGAACGCUGGCGGCGUGCCUAAUACAUGCAAGUCGGACGCAAUGCUUCGGCAUUGAGUGGCGAACGGGUGAGUAAUACAUAAGCAACCUGCCCCUGUGAGGGGGAUAACUGCUGGAAACGGCAGCUAAGACCGCAUAGGCAUACAUGACGCAUGUCGAGUAUGUUAAAUAUCCUACGGGAUAGCACAGGGAUGGGCUUAUGACGCAUUAGCUAGCUGGUGAGGUAGAGGCUCACCAGGGCGACGAUGCGUAGCCGGCCUGAGAGGGUGGACGGCCACACUGGGACUGAGACACGGCCCAGACUCCUACGGGAGGCAGCAGUAGGGAAUUUUCGGCAAUGGGCGAAAGCCUGACCGAGCAACGCCGCGUGAAGGAAGAAGUCAUUCGUGAUGUAAACUUCUGUUAUAAAGGAAGAACGGCGCCUGUAGGGAAUGACAGGCGAGUGACGGUACUUUAUGAGGAAGCCACGGCUAACUACGUGCCAGCAGCCGCGGUAAUACGUAGGUGGCGAGCGUUAUCCGGAAUCAUUGGGCGUAAAGAGGGAGCAGGCGGCAGUGCAGGUCUGCGGUGAAAGCCCGAAGCUAAACUUCGGUAAGCCGUGGAAACCGCACAGCUAGAGAGCAUCAGAGGAUCGCGGAAUUCCAUGUGUAGCGGUGAAAUGCGUAGAUAUAUGGAGGAACACCAGUGGCGAAGGCGGCGGUCUGGGGUGCAGCUGACGCUCAGUCCCGAAAGCGUGGGGAGCAAAUAGGAUUAGAUACCCUAGUAGUCCACGCCGUAAACGAUGAGUGCUAAGUGUUGGGGGUCAGACCUCAGUGCUGCAGUUAACGCAAUAAGCACUCCGCCUGAGUAGUACGUUCGCAAGAAUGAAACUCAAAGGAAUUGACGGGGGCCCGCACAAGCGGUGGAGCAUGUGGUUUAAUUCGAAGCAACGCGAAGAACCUUACCAGGUCUUGACAUGGAGAUAAAGGCUCUGGAGACAGAGAGAUAGUUAUAUCUCACACAGGUGGUGCAUGGUUGUCGUCAGCUCGUGUCGUGAGAUGUUGGGUUAAGUCCCGCAACGAGCGCAACCCCUGUUGCCAGUUGCCAGCAUUAGGUUGGGGACUCUGGCGAGACUGCCUCUGCAAGGAGGAGGAAGGCGGGGAUGACGUCAAAUCAUCAUGCCCCUUAUGACCUGGGCUACACACGUGCUACAAUGGACGGAUCAGAGGGAGGCGAAGCCGCGAGGUGGAGCGAAACCCAGAAACCCGUUCACAGUUCGGACUGCAGUCUGCAACUCGACUGCACGAAGCUGGAAUCGCUAGUAAUCGCGAAUCAGCAUGUCGCGGUGAAUACGUUCUCGGGCCUUGUACACACCGCCCGUCACACCAUGAGAGUUGGUAACACCCGAAGCCGGUGGCCCAACCGCAAGGAGGGAGCUGUCUAAGGUGGGACUGAUGAUUGGGGUGAAGUCGUAACAAGGUAUCCCUACGGGAACGUGGGGAUGGAUCACCUCCUUUCUAGGGAG
This 1530-nucleotide ribosomal RNA is filed under the name Massilimicrobiota sp. An80. RNAcentral's name for it is "bacterial SSU rRNA". It matches the Rfam family "Bacterial small subunit ribosomal RNA". The record is from RNAcentral. Lineage: Bacteria; Bacillati; Bacillota; Erysipelotrichia; Erysipelotrichales; Erysipelotrichaceae.